UACGUAGGGUGCGAGCGUUGUCCGGAAUUAUUGGGCGUAAAGAGCUUGUAGGCGGUUUGUCGCGUCUGCUGUGAAAUCCCGAGGCUUAACCCCGGGUCUGCAUUCGAUACGGGCAGGCUAGAGUGUGGUAGGGGAGAUCGGAAUUCCUGGUGUAGCGGUGAAAUGCGCAGAUAUCAGGAGGAACACCGGUGGCGAAGGCGGAUCUCUGGGCCAUUACUGACGCUGAGGAGCGAAAGCGUGGGGAGCGAACAGG
This 253-nucleotide ribosomal RNA is filed under the name uncultured bacterium. Its description in RNAcentral is "partial 16S ribosomal RNA". It matches the Rfam family "Bacterial small subunit ribosomal RNA", at positions 524 to 776 of the family's 1533-position model. The record is from RNAcentral.